AUACAGGGAGUGCGAGCGUUAAUCGGAAUUACUGGGCGUAAAGAGUACGUAGGCGGUUGCUUAAGUCAGAUGUGAAAGCCCCGGGCUCAACCUGGGAACUGCAUUUGAAACUGAGUGACUAGAGUUUAAGAGAGGGGAGUAGAAUUCCGGGUGUAGCGGUGAAAUGCGUAGAGAUCCGGAGGAAUACCAGUGGCGAAGGCGGCUCCCUGGCUUAAAACUGACGCUGAGGUACGAAAGCGUGCGUAGCAAACAGGAUUAGAAACCCCAGUAGUCC
RNAcentral lists this ribosomal RNA (274 nucleotides) under uncultured bacterium. RNAcentral describes it as "partial 16S ribosomal RNA". It matches the Rfam family "Bacterial small subunit ribosomal RNA", at positions 523 to 796 of the family's 1533-position model. The record is from RNAcentral.